RNAcentral lists this ribosomal RNA (254 nucleotides) under uncultured bacterium. RNAcentral describes it as "partial 16S ribosomal RNA". It matches the Rfam family "Bacterial small subunit ribosomal RNA", at positions 524 to 776 of the family's 1533-position model. The record is from RNAcentral.
UACGGGGGGAGCAAGCGUUGUUCGGAUUUACUGGGCGUAAAGGGCGCGUAGGCGGCCAGCACAAGUCAGUUGUGAAAUCUCCGGGCUUAACUCGGAAAGGUCAACUGAUACUGUGCGGCUAGAGUGCGGAAGGGGCAACUGGAAUUCUCGGUGUAGCGGUGAAAUGUGUAGAUAUCGAGAGGAACACCUGCGGCGAAGGCGGGUUGCUGGGCCGACACUGACGCUGAUGCGCGAAAGCGUGGGGAGCGAACAGG